AGCAGCCGCGGUAAUUCCAGCUCCAAUAGCGUAUAUUAAAGUUGUUGCAGUUAAAAAGCUCGUAGUUGAAUUUCGGGGUCAGUAGGCUGGUCGUGCCACCGGUACGUACUGGUCUCACUGAUUCCUCCUUCCUGAAGAACCGUAAUGCCAUUAAUUUGGUGUUGCGGGGAAACAGGACUGUUACUUUGAAAAAAUUAGAGUGUUUAAAGCAGGCUAACGCUUGAAUACAUUAGCAUGGAAUAAUGAAAUAGGACGAUCGAUCCUAUUUUGUUGGUUUCUAGGAUUGACGUAAUGAUUAAUAGGGAUAGUUGGGGGCAUUAGUAUUCAAUUGUCAGAGGUGAAAUUCUUGGAUUUAUUGAAGACUAACUACUGCGAAAGCAUUUGCCAAGGAUGUUUUCAUUAAUCAAGAACGAAAGUUAGGGGAUCGAAGACGAUCAGAUACCGUCGUAGUCUUAACCAUAAACUAUGCCGACUAGGGAUCGGAUGAUGUAAUUUUAUAAUGACUCAUUCGGCGCCUUAA
RNAcentral lists this ribosomal RNA (520 nucleotides) under uncultured Glomus. Its description in RNAcentral is "SSU rRNA". It matches the Rfam family "Eukaryotic small subunit ribosomal RNA", at positions 569 to 1091 of the family's 1831-position model. Lineage: Eukaryota; Fungi; Glomeromycota; Glomeromycetes; Glomerales; Glomeraceae. The record is from RNAcentral.